This is a long non-coding RNA of Quercus robur (English oak), 314 nucleotides long. RefSeq lists it as uncharacterized. The transcript is spliced from 3 exons. The record is from RefSeq and is a predicted model, not a curated record. Lineage: Eukaryota; Viridiplantae; Streptophyta; Magnoliopsida; Fagales; Fagaceae.
CUUGUAGAGAGCUGAGUCUCAAUCUCACACUCAAUUAGAAAUGGAGUCCAGUUUCAAAACCCAACCACUCCUCCCCCUUCUCCUUCUUCUCUUCACCUUCUCUUUUUUUACUGAAUCAAACCAGUUUUGUGAUGCUGGGAUUGAGUAUGGUGAAUCGUCAUGUGGAGUUUCGGCUUCAUCGUUGAAGAUAUUAAUUAAAGGGUGAACUGUUGUGAAUGCUCAUAGAGAGGUGGUUGCUGAUGUUUAUGUGAAGGAUGGGAUCAUUGUUGCUGUGAAGCCUAAUAUCAAGGUUGGUGAUGAUGUUACCGUGCUUG